GUGGGGAAUCUUGCGCAAUGGGCGAAAGCCUGACGCAGCCAUGCCGCGUGAAUGAUGAAGGUCUUAGGAUUGUAAAAUUCUUUCACCGGGGAAGAUAAUGACGGUACCCGGAGAAGAAGCCCCGGCUAACUUCGUGCCAGCAGCCGCGGUAAUACGAAGGGGGCUAGCGUUGCUCGGAAUUACUGGGCGUAAAGGGCGCGUAGGCGGACAUUUAAGUCAGAGGUGAGAGCCCAGGGCUCAACCUGGGAAUUGCCUUUGAUACUGGAUGUCUUGAGUUCGGGAGAGGUGAGUGGAAUGCCGAGUGUAGAGGUGAAAUUCGUAGAUAUUCGGCGGAACACCAGUGGCGAAGGCGACUCACUGGCCCGAUACUGACGCUGAGGCGCGAAAGCGUGGGGAGCAAACAGGAUUAGAAAACCCGGUAGUCC
Molecule: ribosomal RNA, 425 nt
Filed under: uncultured bacterium
Lineage: Bacteria
Description: partial 16S ribosomal RNA
Rfam family: Bacterial small subunit ribosomal RNA
Source: RNAcentral